CAGAGUAUAGCGCAGUCUGGUAGCGUAUCUGUUUUGGGAACAGAAAGUCGCAGGUUCAAAUCCUGCUACUCUGA
RNAcentral lists this transfer RNA (74 nucleotides) under Trebouxia lynnae. Its description in RNAcentral is "Trebouxia sp. TR9 tRNA-Pro". It matches the Rfam family "tRNA". Rfam says of the family: Transfer RNA (tRNA) molecules are approximately 80 nucleotides in length. Their secondary structure includes four short double-helical elements and three loops (D, anti-codon, and T loops). Further hydrogen bonds mediate the characteristic L-shaped molecular structure. tRNAs have two regions of fundamental functional importance: the anti-codon, which is responsible for specific mRNA codon recognition, and the 3' end, to which the tRNAs corresponding amino acid is attached (by aminoacyl-tRNA synthetases). tRNAs cope with the degeneracy of the genetic code in two manners: having more than one tRNA (with a specific anti-codon) for a particular amino acid; and 'wobble' base-pairing, i.e. permitting non-standard base-pairing at the 3rd anti-codon position. Lineage: Eukaryota; Viridiplantae; Chlorophyta; Trebouxiophyceae; Trebouxiales; Trebouxiaceae. The record is from RNAcentral.